GUAAGGAAUAUUGGGCAAUGGGGGAAACCCUGACCCAGCAACGCCGCGUGAAGGAAGAAGGUUUUCGGAUCGUAAACUUCUAUCCUUGGUGAAGAUAAUGACGGUAGCCAAGAAGGAAGCCCCGGCUAACUACGUGCCAGCAGCCGCGGUAAUACGUAGGGGGCAAGCGUUGUCCGGAAUGAUUGGGCGUAAAGGGCGCGUAGGCGGCCUGGUAAGUCUGGAGUGAAAGUCCUGCUGUUAAGGUGGGAAUUGCUUUGGAUACUGUCGGGCUUGAGUGCAGGAGAGGUAAGCGGAAUUCCCGGUGUAGCGGUGAAAUGCGUAGAGAUCGGGAGGAACACCAGUGGCGAAGGCGGCUUACUGGACUGUAACUGACGCUGAGGCGCGAAAGUGUGGGGAGCAAACAGGAUUAGAUACCCUGGUAGUCC
This 425-nucleotide ribosomal RNA is filed under the name uncultured bacterium. RNAcentral's name for it is "partial 16S ribosomal RNA". It matches the Rfam family "Bacterial small subunit ribosomal RNA", at positions 354 to 796 of the family's 1533-position model. The record is from RNAcentral.